This 423-nucleotide ribosomal RNA is filed under the name uncultured bacterium. RNAcentral's name for it is "bacterial SSU rRNA". It matches the Rfam family "Bacterial small subunit ribosomal RNA", at positions 358 to 773 of the family's 1533-position model. The record is from RNAcentral.
GGAAUAUUGGACAAUGGGCGAAAGCCUGAUCCAGCGACGCCGCGUGUGUGAAGAAGGCCUGCGGGUUGUAAAGCACUUUCGAUGGGAACGAAAUGUGCCGGGCUAAUACCCCGGCAAGCUGACGUUACUCAAUGAAGAAGCACCGGCUAACUCCGUGCCAGCAGCCGCGGUAAUACGGAGGGUGCAAGCGUUAAUCGGGAUUACUGGGCGUAAAGCGCACGCAGGCGGCUUUUUAAGUCGGAUGUGAAAGCCCCGGGCUCAACCUGGGAAUUGCAUUCGAUACUGGGGAGCUAGAGUAUGUGAGAGGGGGGUAGAAUUCCAAGUGUAGCGGUGAAAUGCGUAGAGAUUUGGAGGAAUACCAGUGGCGAAGGCGGCCCCCUGGCACAAUACUGACGCUCAGGUGCGAAAGCGUGGGGAGCAAAC